ACACGACUACAUUAGAUACCCGCGUAGUCCUAGCCGUAAACGAUACUCGCUAGGUGUCGGCCACGGUGCGACCGUUGUCGGUGCCGUAGGGAAGCCGUGAAGCGAGCCACCUGGGAAGUACGGCCGCAAGGCUGAAACUUAAAGGAAUUGGCGGGGGAGCACCACAACGGGUGGAGCUUGCGGUUUAAUUGGAUUCAACGCCGGAAAUCUUACCAGGACCGACAGCAACAUGAAGGCCAGGCUGAAGACUUUGCCGGAUUAGCUG
RNAcentral lists this ribosomal RNA (265 nucleotides) under uncultured archaeon. RNAcentral describes it as "partial 16S ribosomal RNA". It matches the Rfam family "Archaeal small subunit ribosomal RNA", at positions 717 to 982 of the family's 1478-position model. The record is from RNAcentral.